UCAGGAUGUGUAAGAAAAGAAAU
RNAcentral lists this non-coding RNA (23 nucleotides) under Cricetulus griseus (Chinese hamster). Lineage: Eukaryota; Metazoa; Chordata; Mammalia; Rodentia; Cricetidae. The record is from RNAcentral.